GAAAAGGGACUUGCAAAGGACACAGAGCAAGCGGUUUCAGCUGUGCUCUGCUAAUGUAACAGGGAAUGACUCAAAUGGAUGCUAAAAAGCCAAGGAAAUGCGAUUUGACUCCCUUCCUGGUUUUGAGAGCAAUAAAGAAACAAAAGUUUACCUCUGCAAAGGGCCCCACUCUUUCUGAGUUCUACAUGGUUGGAAGUAAACCUUCGGUUCAAGUCCAGAAGCCACCUUCCAAUAUCAAGAACUCCAGAAUGACCCAAGUCUUUCAUAAGAACACCAGUGUUACUUCACUCCCCUUUGUGGACACCAAGAGGAAGAAGAAUAUGGUAAGCUUCCCACACAUUAGUAAGAAAGUCCUGCUGAAGUCAUCCCUGCUGUAUCAGGUGAGUGCAGAUGGACUGGACCCUGAGAAGGCAGGUGAAAGACCUGGUUUUAGUCCAAAG
This 440-nucleotide small RNA is filed under the name Pongo abelii (Sumatran orangutan). RNAcentral describes it as "retained intron". The record is from RNAcentral. Lineage: Eukaryota; Metazoa; Chordata; Mammalia; Primates; Hominidae.